UACGUAGGGACCAAGCGUGGUUCGGAUUUACUGGGCGUAAAGGGCGCGUAGGCGGCUUGACAAGUCACUUGUGAAAUCUCCGGGCUUAACUCGGAACGGCCAAGUGAAACUGUCAUGCUAGAGUGCAGAAGGGGCAAUCGGAAUUCUUGGUGUAGCGGUGAAAUGCGUAGAUAUCAGGAAGAACACCAAUGGCGAAAGCAGCUUUCUGGGACGGUACUGACGCUGAGACGCGAAAGCGUGGGGAGCGAACAGG
RNAcentral lists this ribosomal RNA (253 nucleotides) under uncultured bacterium. RNAcentral describes it as "partial 16S ribosomal RNA". It matches the Rfam family "Bacterial small subunit ribosomal RNA", at positions 524 to 776 of the family's 1533-position model. The record is from RNAcentral.